Molecule: long non-coding RNA, 1161 nt
Filed under: Betta splendens (Siamese fighting fish)
Lineage: Eukaryota; Metazoa; Chordata; Actinopteri; Anabantiformes; Osphronemidae
Description: lncRNA (ENSBSLG00000012968.1)
Source: RNAcentral
CGCAGGUUAAAUACGAUAACCCCCGCAGGAAAAUUAGCGCUAACCUAAGCUAGUAGCAACCACAGCUAUGAAGGCAACGAUGACUUGAGUCCACAAACCAACUCCCUCAAGUCUUCAGAAAAGCUUGUCCGGGUUUACAGUAUGUUGCCAUGUACAUACAAAACCUCGAACGAAUAACGACCAAUUAAAACGACCGCGUCGUUUAUUACCCAUAACUGAAAAUAACAACGAUUUAUAGGUGUUUCUUUAAAUGUUGUGAACUGGGCCUUAGUUCGGCGUGAUUAAAUCCGACCAGAAACGGAGCUGAACGUUAACUUUAUGAUAUUUUGUCUCUAUUCCUGCUUGCCCAUUCCUAUAAAAACCGAGUCAAAAUGCGCGAGGGAGCAGCGUUAACCACAUAUCACAUAUUACGGCACUAAUACAACACUUGGCAGACACAUAUAAGAUUAUACGUGAGCAGCCAGGCAGCGCUAAAGUGCCGAAAAAUUGAAUGUAGUUCUGAAAGUAGCAUUUCUUGUGCCGUAGUACACAAACAGCACUGGUGUCUGUAAAAGCCUGAACAUUGAUAUGCACAUUGAGCUUGUGGAGCGCAAUGUACAGGACUUCCACCGAGCUGUCACUGUAAAGCGCCCAGUCUGUCAGUCGACUGUCAUUGCCCACACCGCUGUCAUGAAUUCACCAAAAUGACACAUACCUCACAUGCAAGACGAAGCGCGGAGCCCAGUGUUAAUCGGAGUCCCGGUGCGCGAACAUUCCCUCCUCAAACUGGAACCGCCGUUGGUCUCCGACGGCUGAAGUGAACGGGACAGCGGCACGGUUUAACCUGAAAUGACCCGCGCCAGUGCAAAUCGGCCGAGGGCGCUGCGCGCGCGCCCGUCUGCGGGCUGUGUCACUCGGUGGCGUGGACUAACUGAUUGCGUGUGCCGCGGGGAGAGUCCCUGCCCUAGACGGAGAAAACUUCAACAUGGAGCCGAAAACAAACGCUGGAAAACGGCACGUCCGAGACUAGAGGAUUCAAAUGACGGUAGAGCGAGGGAAGACAAAAGUGGAAUUUGGUUUCUUCGAUCUUCCGAAUGACUAAACACAACUUAUCCAGGGAACCGGCUCACAAAUAUUUAAUUAAAAAUAAUAAAUAAAGGCUGCAGUAUCUGAUAUUUGACA